Long non-coding RNA from Culex pipiens pallens (northern house mosquito), 691 nucleotides. RefSeq lists it as uncharacterized. The record is from RefSeq and is a predicted model, not a curated record. The transcript has 3 exons. Lineage: Eukaryota; Metazoa; Arthropoda; Insecta; Diptera; Culicidae.
AAAAAAACCGCAGCAGCGGGAGGAACCAAAUUGUUCCUAGUUCAGGUUGCCGGAGAAAACCUGAACUAGGUGUUGUGGCUGGCAAGCGGAUGUGGCAAAUUAUUGAGCAUCGACGAAACCAUCCGAUUCAACCGAUUAUGACCGCUGUUUUAGGCCAUCGGCGAAGAUCCUACAGAAUUUUCUGUCCGGAUUGCCAUUUUUUCAAAUAUUUCGAUGUUCCCGCGCCAGAUUCAUCCAGGCGGCCACUGGCAUCUUCUAACCUUCCCGUCUUCAUCGGCGCAACAAAAAUCGGGAGAGCCACCAGAUUGAACCACCAGGUCCAGCCAUGUGUGAUUUUUUACUGCAGGCAGCAAAAAAAAAGAGUGUUUAUUUGUGAAGUGAUGUGUUUUUGUCAAUAAAAAAUUAAUUAAUUUCAAUUCAACGCCAUGAUGAUUUUUGUAGUUUGGUUACUGGCCACCAGAUGGCAACGCAUUUCCCUGAGCUCAAAAAUGGCCACCAGAUGGCAGAGUCAUCAAGAAAUACUACACCACAGACACCAACCCAAAACGUAGUACCAUUUUUAUCCGCUAGAGUGCUUCAAUUUCUAAACCGCGUGAACAAACGUUCACGAUUUGCGAUUUGUUCAUGGAAAGUGUUCAUGGUACGUUCUCGUACCAUGGAAUAUCACGUUGUUCCCGAUUUCGUGGUACAU